Molecule: long non-coding RNA, 208 nt
Organism: Ornithodoros turicata
Lineage: Eukaryota; Metazoa; Arthropoda; Arachnida; Ixodida; Argasidae
Exons: 3
Source: RefSeq, a predicted model, not a curated record
GCACACAGAACCAGAACCAACGUUCGUAAGAAGAAUGCGAAAUUGCAUUGUGAAGACGUCAAUCGUCGCAGCAAGGUGGAACCAGCACUUGCUGCCGAAUUCAUCAACGGAAUCUCUCGUGCACGAGUUAAACAAAUGCGUUCCGGACCAUAUGAUCCCGAAAAACGUCAAGUUGCUCACGGGUGCGAUGCGCUACGCCCGUACAUUA